RNAcentral lists this ribosomal RNA (224 nucleotides) under uncultured bacterium. RNAcentral describes it as "partial 16S ribosomal RNA". It matches the Rfam family "Bacterial small subunit ribosomal RNA", at positions 328 to 539 of the family's 1533-position model. The record is from RNAcentral.
ACGCUCGACACCUACGGGAGGCAGCAGUAGGGAAUCUUCCACAAUGGGCGCAAGCCUGAUGGAGCAACACCGCGUGAGUGAAGAAGGGUUUCGGCUCGUAAAGACUCUGUUGUUGGAGAAGAACGUGCGUGAGAGUAACUGUUCACGCAGUGACGGUAUCCAACCAGAAAGUCACGGCUAACUACGUGCUAGCAGCCGCGGUAAUCUGAGCGGGCUGGCAAGGC